CAGAUUGUGAAUAUAUUGCAACACACGAAUUAAAUAGAAUUUGACGUUGAAGGUUAGAUAAUAACUAGUGAGGACGUGGGUGCAAUACCCACCACCUCCACCAAUUUAAAACACAUAGAUGUGUGCUUUGAGGGGGUGAGUAGAUUCGACUGCUACUAAAACUAACUGGAGUUAAAUCGCUGAUGUCGUAACAUCAAACUAUAAAUGCUAACGAAAGUUAUGCACUAGCGGCUUAAGUCGCUGGGGUUUGCCUGUACCUUGCAACAGAAACAGGCAUA
RNAcentral lists this transfer-messenger RNA (278 nucleotides) under Hyphomicrobiales bacterium. It matches the Rfam family "Alphaproteobacteria transfer-messenger RNA". Rfam says of the family: Bacterial tmRNA, also known as 10Sa RNA or SsrA, is named for its dual tRNA and mRNA-like properties. Its role is to liberate the mRNA from a stalled ribosome. Lineage: Bacteria; Pseudomonadati; Pseudomonadota; Alphaproteobacteria; Hyphomicrobiales. The record is from RNAcentral.